GACGAACGCUGGCGGCGUGCUUAACACAUGCAAGUCGAACGGAAAGGCCUCUUUCGGGGGGUACUCGCGUGGCGAACGGGUGAGUAACACGUGAGUAACCUGCCCUUGACUUUGGGAUAACUUCCGGAAACUGGGGCUAAUACCGGAUAGGAGCUCCUGCUGCAUGGUGGGUGUUGGAAAGUUUCGGCGGUUGGGGGUGGACUCGCGGCUUAUCAGCUUGUUGGUGGGGUAGUGGCUUACCAAGGCUUUGACGGGUAGCCGGCCUGAGAGGGUGACCGGCCACAUUGGGACUGAGAUACGGCACAGACUGCUACGGGAGGCAGCAGUGGGGAAUAUUGCACAAUGGGUGGAAGCCUGAUGCAGCAACGCCGUGUGCGGGAUGACGGCCUUCGGGUUGUAAACCGCUUUCGCACAUGACGAAGCUUUGUGUGACGGUAGUGGGUAAAGAAGCACCGGCUAACUACGUG
Molecule: ribosomal RNA, 467 nt
Filed under: uncultured bacterium
Lineage: Bacteria
Description: partial 16S ribosomal RNA
Rfam family: Bacterial small subunit ribosomal RNA
Source: RNAcentral